Molecule: non-coding RNA, 1759 nt
Organism: Camelina sativa (false flax)
Lineage: Eukaryota; Viridiplantae; Streptophyta; Magnoliopsida; Brassicales; Brassicaceae
Source: RefSeq, a predicted model, not a curated record
CAACGCCUGCAGCAAAGAAAAAACGUCAAACGAAUAUUAUUGGUUUACAAAAAGGUAAGACGAUCAGAUUAGUAGGAAUGCUUAUAUUAACUAACAUUUCUUCGUCUUUGUGAAAGUUCCACCCACAUGUUUGUUCUUUGUGAAACUACAAAGGUCGUUUUUGUUUUGUUCUUUGUAAGUUGUAACCAGUCCAAAACGCAGCGUUUCCAUGGAACGUUAAAUUGUUUUAGGAGUGUUUUUUUGUUAACGUUUCUACAAACGGAGUGUUAGAUUUGAUAACGGAAUUUAGUUGGGGGUUUAAAUCGUAAAACAAAAAGGAAUAGUUGAGGGUUUUUGUAAUAAAUUGGCUGGAGAAUUUUUGUCUAAUUCGUUAGACGAUACCAAAAAGGGAAGACUCAGCUUUUUCUAUAGAAUCGAAUCAUCGAAGAGUAACCACCCUUAGAACGAGCCCGAGAAGAAGAAGAAGAAGAGAGAUGGGAGGCAAGGAGGGUGCGAUUGGGCGAUGCUUCAUCAAGUUUGCAAAUAAGUUCUACCAGCAUGUCGAUUGUAAAAUGUUUAGUUGUGCCGUAACACUUGUCGCCGGAUAUUCUUACGGCGACAUCACGGGUGUUGUUGUCAAGGAUUGGGACACGAAAGAAAGGCUUGAGCUAGAAAGGAAAGAUCUUGAAAGACAGAUCCAAGAGUACGAAGCUGAAGCCAGAGAACUAGAGAAGUGUUCAAGUAGAUAGAUAGAAAAGCAAAGGAGCGCCCUUCCUUCCUUUUAUGUACUUAGCAACCCUAGCCCGCCGUCCUUUAAAGAUCCCCUGUCUUUUUACUACGUUGUGAGAUUGAUUGAUCGAUAGGUUGAGUUCUGAUCAGAACAGCGGUUUUGAUGUUAUUGUUUUCUGCCUUUUGUAAGUGCUUUUUGACUCUUACCAUAGAGUAGAAAUGUCUUUGGUUUUUUUUUUUCUUGUUCUUUUGAUAGAUAAGCUCGAUGAGGAACAUGUUCUUAGCAGAACCCCGACACGGCCUUGUCUUUUCAAAGGCAAUUACAAUGACAGAAUGGUUAUCUCUAUUCGAUGGCUUGCCGCUCUUGAACGAGAACUUGUUCAAAAAAGAAGCCGAAACUACAAAGGUCGACCAGAUAGAUAUAAGGGGCUUAUGGUGUAUGGCUAGAUGCCCAACGGAAACUUAUCUAGUCUGCUCCAAGGAGCUUCCCAUCAAUGUCCUAAACUGGCCAAUGCGCCUCCUCCAUCAAUCCAACAUGACUAGAAUUAUCCAAGCAUUCGUGCAUUAUCCAUUAAUAUUGGCCUUAAGGAAGGGAUCAGACAAAAGUAGCUAGACACGAAUGAAAAGCAUACUCGGAAUGGAAUUCAGACAAGGGUAUAGGACGGGCACAUCCAUCAAGCUAGCUAGUUAAGAAGUUUACAAAAGACACAACAAGCCAUAGAGAUAAAUUACAAAUACUGCUAAACUGGGUUGGAGAUUUGCAUCUUCUUAGCAAGCAACGCUUCCUUCUUCUUCUCCAGCUCCUGCCGCUUGGCAGACAAGUCCUGAAACCAUGAGUUGGAAGAUGCAUUAAACUCAUAUAAAACCCAAAGCAAACCUCAAAUCUUGUUUCUAUAUUUAAUUUACCUCUAUCUCGGAAUCAUACUUUUCUGGAUUGUAUGGGGAGUUAUAUGUAGCUGGGAAGAAAGAAGAAGUAUAUAAUUAGUGGGUUCUUCUUGUUGAAUCUCAAAAAUGAAUCAAUAAAAUAGAUAUCAUCCUCCGCACAACACAC